This 1347-nucleotide unclassified non-coding RNA is filed under the name Hevea brasiliensis (rubber tree). The record is from RNAcentral. Lineage: Eukaryota; Viridiplantae; Streptophyta; Magnoliopsida; Malpighiales; Euphorbiaceae.
AGCAAAUCAAAGCAGAAUUAGAAGUAUCUGCAAAGGAAGCAACUCUUUCUGAAGCCAAGCAUAUCAAUGGUUUACGAGCUGUUUUUGGAGAAGUCUAUCCGGACCCAGUUAGAGUUGUGGCAAUUGGUCGAAAAGUUGAGGACCUCCUAGCCGAUCCAGAAAAUAAUGNUCCAGAAAAUAAUGAGUGGCUGUCAAUCUCAGCAGAACUCUGUGGAGGGACACAUAUUUCAAAUACAAGGGAAGCAAAGGCAUUUGCUCUGUUAUCAGAGGAGGGAAUUGCAAAAGGAAUUCGAAGAAUAACUGCUGUGACAACUGAUAGUGCUUUUAAGGCUAUGGAACUAGCAUCAUCACUUGAGCAGGAGGUUGAUGAGACAUCCAAGACAGAAGGAAGCUUGCUGGAAAAGAAAGUAGCCUCUUUAAAAAGUCGCGUGGACUCGGCACCUAUUCCAGCAGCCAAGAAAGCUGACAUUAGGUCUAGGAUUUCUGUACUUCAGAAUCAAGUAAGAAAAGCACAAAAGAAGAUUGCUGAAGAAAAUAUGCAGAAGGCUGUCAAGGUUGCAACAGAGAUGGCUGAAGUUGCUGCUUCAGAAGGGAAUGAAUUCUGCAUUUCUCGUGUUAAUGUUGGUUUAGAUGCAGCUGCAGUCCGUGAGGCAGCUAUGAAAGUCUUGGCGAAGGGGCUUUCAAUUAUGGUUUUCAGUUUGGAUGAAACUACAAACAAGGUUGUGGUGUGUGCGGGAGUGCCAGAAAAGUCGGACAUCAGCAAAAAGCUGGAGGUGUCUGAGUGGUUAACUGCUGCAUUGGAGCCGCUGAAUGGGAGGUGUGGUAAAGGAAAGGGGGGUCUUGCCACAGGCCAGGGAACAGAUGGAGUACAUGUUGAGAAGGCUAUGGAUUUGGCAGCCGCUUUUGCGCAGAUGAAGUUGACAUGAUAGAAGGAUUUACAGUGCUGGCUUUGAUGACGCAAUAUGGUCUUGGUGGUUAAUAGACUUGAUUCUUAUUAAAGUUUAUCUCAACACACAGAUCAUACAAUUGCAGCUGCAAGCAACUAGCUAAUUGAAGGCAACGAUCUGAGUUAAUAUAUGACGGCAUAUGUUUCUUCACUAAAUGCAUCAUAUAUUACAUCUGCCAUAUAACAAGUGGAGUUUGUUUUUCUAUUUUAUCAGAAGUAAUUUUACGAGAGCUGACUGAAGAGAUGAAUGAUAUUAUUGGAGUGGAAAAUUCUGGUAACCGUUAGGAAACAUAAACAUAGAAAAAAGGGGAAGUUUGAUUGUUUGAUGAACUGAAACUGCAAAAUAAAAUCUCAACUUCAUUGUUUGAUAAAUCAGUAGGGGAAUGAACAAACUGAGGGGC